GCCCGCCUAGCUCAAUCGGAUAGAGCGUCAGACUCUUACUAGCGGGUGUAUCUGAAGGCUGCGAGUUCGACCCUCGCGGUGGGCU
This is a non-coding RNA of Trametes gibbosa, 85 nucleotides long. The record is from the annotation of a GenBank genome assembly. NCBI's taxonomy places the organism in Eukaryota, Fungi, Basidiomycota, Agaricomycetes, Polyporales, Polyporaceae.